AAUUAUCGUUGACGCCUUUUUUAUGUGAAAACAGAUACCUAUACACACAAUGUAUGUAAUUGAUCCUACCCUAGCAGAGUAUACCUUUCUUGAGGUAUCAUUCCAAUUCCAAUACUGGAAAAUUCCUUCACAAACAAUAAAGGAUACAAUACCAAGAUAAACACACUAGAAAUGGACGGUACGAAGAUUGACUGCUGAGAAAGAGUUUUGUUGUGUUUACGGUAAGUGUAUACACUAAGAAUUUACUACGUUAUAUAUCGCUGACAAUCGAUAAAUAUUCAUAACAUAAUAUAUGGAAAUAAAGCGAGAAAUAUUUGAUGAAUAAAAAUGGUAGACUGUUAAUACAAGAGGGUUUGAACGCUGAUGAAUUAAGUACUUGAAGCUGAUAGGAUCCAAAUCCAGCAAUUCGCGUGUUUAUAUAAAAAACAGGUUUGGUAAUUUAGGAGUUUUCGUGAGAGCAUGGCAAAACUGUUCAGUGAAGUGAGAAGUUUGAUGGAUUCAAGUAAUAAAGCAGCCUUAUAAAAUAGCAAGUUCCAUACCUAUUAAUAUUUUUACCACUAUUAAUAUUACUUCGUUUGCAUUUAGAUUUCCAAUUUUUAAAGAAAAAGAACAAGAAACCGAUCAUAUGCUACCAAAUUUAUUUGAAAAAUCAAAAGUAUUCAGUAUCGUUUCACUUUUAAUCAGUUAAGUAAACAGAUUUGGCAUUUUGCUGUAGUAGUAGUUCAACGACUUCAAUUUCUAGGCAUUGAAAAAACGUUUUUGC
Schizosaccharomyces pombe (fission yeast) is the source of this 763-nucleotide non-coding RNA. Lineage: Eukaryota; Fungi; Ascomycota; Schizosaccharomycetes; Schizosaccharomycetales; Schizosaccharomycetaceae. The record is from the annotation of a GenBank genome assembly.